This 481-nucleotide ribosomal RNA is filed under the name uncultured bacterium. RNAcentral's name for it is "partial 16S ribosomal RNA". It matches the Rfam family "Bacterial small subunit ribosomal RNA", at positions 28 to 523 of the family's 1533-position model. The record is from RNAcentral.
GACGGACGCUGGCGGCGUGCUUAACACAUGCAAGUCGAGCGGAAAGGCCACUUCGGUGGUACUCGAGCGGCGAACGGGUGAGUAACACGUGAGUAAUCUGCCCCUGGCUUUGGGAUAGCCACCGGAAACGGUGAUUAAUACCGGAUACGACCACUUCUCGCAUGGGAUGGUGGUGGAAAGUUUUUUCGGCCAGGGAUGUGCUCGCGGCCUAUCAGCUUGAUGGUGAGGUAAUGGCUCACCAUGGCUUCGACGGGUAGCCGGCCUGAGAGGGUGGCCGGUCACACUGGGACUGAGACACGGCCCAGACUCCUACGGGAGGCAGCAGUGGGGAAUAUUGGACAAUGGGCGGAAGCCUGAUCCAGCAACGCCGCGUGAGGGAUGACGGCCUUCGGGUUGUAAACCUCUUUCAGCAGGGACGAAGCGCAAGUGACGGUACCUGCAGAAGAAGCACCGGCCAACUACGUGCCAGCCGCCGCUGUAA